RNAcentral lists this ribosomal RNA (253 nucleotides) under uncultured bacterium. RNAcentral describes it as "partial 16S ribosomal RNA". It matches the Rfam family "Bacterial small subunit ribosomal RNA", at positions 524 to 776 of the family's 1533-position model. The record is from RNAcentral.
UACGUAGGGGCCGAGCGUUGUCCGGAGUUACUGGGCGUAAAGCGCGCGCAGGCGGCGCAUCGCGCCCGGCGUGAAAGCCCCCGGCUCAACCGGGGAGGGUCGUCGGGGACGGGUGCGCUUGAGGACGGCAGGGGCAGGUGGAAUUCCCGGUGUAGUGGUGAAAUGCGCAGAUAUCAGGAGGAACACCGGUGGCGAAGGCGGCUUGCUGGGCCAGUUCUGACGCUGAGGAGCGAAAGCGUGGGGAGCGAACAGG